UCCCUGGUAGCUCAGUGGCAGAGCAGCUGGCUGUUAACCAGUGUGUCGUUGGUUCGAAUCCAACCCCGGGGAG
This 73-nucleotide transfer RNA is filed under the name Anaplasma marginale str. Florida. Its description in RNAcentral is "tRNA-Asn (GTT) (tRNA-Asn-GTT-1-1)". It matches the Rfam family "tRNA". Rfam says of the family: Transfer RNA (tRNA) molecules are approximately 80 nucleotides in length. Their secondary structure includes four short double-helical elements and three loops (D, anti-codon, and T loops). Lineage: Bacteria; Pseudomonadati; Pseudomonadota; Alphaproteobacteria; Rickettsiales; Anaplasmataceae. The record is from RNAcentral.